Molecule: small nuclear RNA, 82 nt
Filed under: Ursus americanus (American black bear)
Lineage: Eukaryota; Metazoa; Chordata; Mammalia; Carnivora; Ursidae
Description: U4 spliceosomal RNA (ENSUAMG00000013291.1)
Rfam family: U4 spliceosomal RNA
About the family: U4 small nuclear RNA (U4 snRNA) is a component of the major U2-dependent spliceosome. The structure of U4 snRNA from yeast and human has been reported.
Source: RNAcentral
AGCUUAGUGCAGUGGCAGUAUCAUAGCCAAUGAGGUUUAUCCGAGGCAUGAUUAUUGCUAAUUAAAAUAUUAGCUUUAACAA